This 301-nucleotide ribosomal RNA is filed under the name uncultured bacterium. RNAcentral's name for it is "partial 16S ribosomal RNA". It matches the Rfam family "Bacterial small subunit ribosomal RNA", at positions 509 to 807 of the family's 1533-position model. The record is from RNAcentral.
CAGCAGCCACGGGAAUACAGAGGGUGCGAGCGUUAAUCGGAUUUACUGGGCGUAAAGCGUGCGUAGGCGGCUUUUUAAGUCGGAUGUGAAAUCCCUGAGCUUAACUUAGGAAUUGCAUUCGAUACUGGGAAGCUAGAGUAUGGGAGAGGAUGGUAGAAUUCCAGGUGUAGCGGUGAAAUGCAUAGAGAUCUGGAGGAAUACCGAUGGCGAAGGCAGCCAUCUGGCCUAAUACUGACGCUGAGGUACGAAAGCAUGGGGAGCAAACAGGAUUAGAUACCCGAGUAGUCCCUGUCUCUUAUAC